CAACCGGUUUGUCUGUCUUCAGUUGUCAGAUUUUAUUUCUUUUGAAACUUCAAUACUAAAAAAGUAUAUGGCUAUUUAUCCAGCGAAGACGUGCGAUUAACAAGUUGAGAAUCCUAAGGCGUCUGUGAAUGUUUCUGUUAUAUUAUGAUAGAUGUGCUUGUUUUCUCCUAAUCCAGUUACCGGGUAUUUAUCAAGUCUCUGUGUUUUGAGGGGUUUGUUUUGUUUUUUUACUACAGGAUCUUAUUCUUUGCUCUAACCAGUUGUUAUAGGCUUGAACUUCGUCGCUAAUAUAAAUAUUGCACGACACAUUUCAUUUGUGAUGCAUAUCUUAAAAUAUCAUUUAUUCUUAGCUGGGCGUGGUGGCACACAUCUGGGAGGCAGAGGAAGGCGAAUCUCUCGAGUUCGAGGCCAGCCUCGCCUGCAAAGCUAGUUAGUUCCAGGACAGCCAGAGAAACCCCUGUCUCGAAAUAGAUCAUGUUUUUCAAUGGAUUGACGUGAUAUAUAUGCAGCUCUAUUACAAAUUAGCUUUUUAUUUAUUUAGAGUGAAGGGAGCACCACAGGGCACUUGUAUCAGUGAAAGAACAGAGGCCAACAGAAUUGGUACUCUCCUGCCACCAUAUAGAUUUCAAGAGUUGAGCUCAAGUCAUAAGGCUUGGCAGCAGGCAUAUUUACCCAGUGAGCCAUCGCAUCAAUUCCAAGUUAGUUUUCUUAUUAUCAUAUACGAACAUAAUGAGUUUCCUUUGUAAUCUGAAUUAUUUUAUCCAUUUAAAAGACCUUCUCUAAGAUGUGAUCCAUGAGUUUCAGUGUUCUUCCAAAGAAGUCCUGGGCACACAAAGGGUUCAAAAUUUCUUCUCUGUUAAGACCUGUUCCUUCUUUUCCCUUUACAACCAUGAGCAAUCAAAGGAGUGAUUCCUUGAAGAUGCAGUUUGGGAGGUUUUUGGAAGAAGUAGAACUCCUGAUAAGUGGGAUACACUGGAUUUUACAGAAGUGACUAUACUCAAUGUAGAAUAAGCAUAACAUAGGCCAAGGACAUCUCUCAGAGAAGGAGGGAGUCAUCAUCGGUUAAUGACCAGACCAGCAUCUGAAGCAGUUGAAGGACCGGACAGUCCCACUGACCAACGGGAUCGCAGCAUAGUGGCUGCGAUGCUGUGCAGGAAAUGGAUAAAAGAACAGUUCCCAAAACCCUCCAAAGAACAAUUGAAAAUUGUUGAAGAACAAAGAAAGAUUCAUGAGAAAAGGAUGAAACUAGAACAAGAAUGACAAUGCCAACAAAAAGAAGAGCAAAAAAUUAUCCUGGGCAAGGAGAUGUCCAGGCCAAAACUGUCCUCCUCAUUAACAACCCAGGAUCGAAUGGCAGACUCUGAACUUUUUACAAAAAAAUAUGAAAAAAACUUUGUAUUGUAGCUUCAUGUUGAAGUCAUUUUUUUGUUUUUGUUUGUUUUAUUUGGCAAGUCUGGACAGUUAGCUUGUUCUAAUAGGGGCUAUGCUCUGCAAUCCCUUUAUUUUUCCCGCUUUUCCUCCAUUGCGUCAGAUCAUUGCUGUCUUGUAGAAGUGGUGUAUUUUUCACCUGAUGGGAUUCUAUACUGGUUGAUGGCCUGCUGAAGUGCAGGUCACUUGGUGAAUAGCUUGGUCUGGUAAGGUGUCCACUGACCACUGACUUUGGGGUUAUACUCUGUUUACUAAGUCAUAAUGCUGGUUUUGGUGACUUUUUGUUUUUUAUACAUUUAUAAAAGAAGAAAAAAUUGGUAAUUACAUUGCAAAAUUCCCAGGGUUUUGCUGGACCUGUGUGGUAUUGUUACAGCAGUGUCCUUGUGAUACUGUGUCUCUUGGUGUUCCUGAUAACAGGUAAGGAUAACAGAUGGUCACCACAGAAGUACCCACAUUUCGGUAUGGUCUCUGUCAGACUUUUGUUUCUUUCAUUGGCAAAAUCAAACCAGCAUUCCCCACUGUCAAUAAAUGAUUUUGCUGAAUAAAGUAAAGUCUUAAAUUCAAAAAAAAAAAAAAA
Non-coding RNA from Cricetulus griseus (Chinese hamster), 2005 nucleotides. NCBI's taxonomy places the organism in Eukaryota, Metazoa, Chordata, Mammalia, Rodentia, Cricetidae. The record is from RefSeq and is a predicted model, not a curated record.